AGCCGUAGUGGCUGAGCGGAGAGGCGUAGGUCCGCAAGACCUUCUACAGCGGUUCGAAUCCGCUCGCGGCGC
This 72-nucleotide transfer RNA is filed under the name Adhaeribacter aerolatus. Its description in RNAcentral is "tRNA-Cys". It matches the Rfam family "tRNA". Rfam says of the family: Transfer RNA (tRNA) molecules are approximately 80 nucleotides in length. The record is from RNAcentral. Lineage: Bacteria; Pseudomonadati; Bacteroidota; Cytophagia; Cytophagales; Hymenobacteraceae.